GUUCCUCCACCAACAACCACUGCUACGCCACCAACAACCACUGUUCCCCCCCCAACAACCACUGCUCAGCCUCCAACAACAGUCGUUCCGCCCGUUUCAGCUACUCCGCCACCAGCAACACCGACUACACCUCCACCAGCAGUUACUCCAACUUCAUCACCACCAGCUCCAAAGGUUGCACCAGUAAUCAGUCCAGUAACUCCACCUCCACAACCACCACCAAGCCCGCCCGUUUCAGCUCCAACCGUCUCACCACCACCAGCUACACCACCACCUGCACCGGCCUCUCCUCCACCGGCGUCACCACCUGCACCAACUUCUCCACCACCAGCACCAGCCUCACCCCCUCCAGCGCUUACGCCAAUAACUCUACCACCAGCUCCAGCUCCUGCUAAGCACAAGAAAAAGCACAAACACAAGCGGCAUCACCAUGCCCCGGCUCCAGCACCAACUCCUCCAAGCCCUCCAUCUC
RNAcentral lists this long non-coding RNA (472 nucleotides) under Brassica napus (rape). RNAcentral's name for it is "long non-coding RNA (BNAP_LNC019146)". Lineage: Eukaryota; Viridiplantae; Streptophyta; Magnoliopsida; Brassicales; Brassicaceae. The record is from RNAcentral.